This is a microRNA precursor of Callithrix jacchus (white-tufted-ear marmoset), 86 nucleotides long. Ensembl annotates it as microRNA 631. Its record names the gene MIR631. The record is from Ensembl. NCBI's taxonomy places the organism in Eukaryota, Metazoa, Chordata, Mammalia, Primates, Cebidae.
GAGGAGCGGGGAGGCUGGUUAGACCUGGCCCAGACCUCAGCUACACAAGCUGAUGGACUGAGUCAGGGGCCAAACUCUCCCUCCUC